This 538-nucleotide small RNA is filed under the name Arabidopsis thaliana (thale cress). RNAcentral describes it as "ATSL225570". The record is from RNAcentral. Lineage: Eukaryota; Viridiplantae; Streptophyta; Magnoliopsida; Brassicales; Brassicaceae.
UUAUAAUCACAUAAAAAUUAGCACAAAAAAAAGUAUUCAACAAUUAAAAAAUUAUCAAAUCUCUGUGUUAUAUAAGUUAUGAUACUAUAUUUGAAUAAAGUGUAAUAUACCUUUUUAAUUUGUAUUCUUUAACUAAUUUAAGCUAACUAAUAUAUUUGCUAAUCUUAUAUCUAUCAAAACCGACUAUCGUUUCUUAUCUCUAUAGUAUUUUUGCAAGACUUUUUUGGUGGAUUUGGAUAAAAAUGCAUUCGGGUCAUAUGGUACAUUCCCCUAUUAAAUAAAUAUGGUGCACUCCUAUGUUAUUAGCUAAAAUAUUUAGAUUAUAAUUCAGAGUCAUAUCAUUAAUAAAACUAAUAUUAAUAAAAUAAAUGACUUUUUGGCAAGACGGAUUUGGAGGGACAUGUUUUUGAAUCAACAUUAAUAAAAAAGUAAAAUAUAAUUAAUCCACCGUUUCAAUAUGGGUUAAAUCUUUAAUUUAUUAUUUUUUAAGACCACUAAUAUUAAACAUAUCAAAUCAUCCUAAUUUAGAAAAAAUUAU